UACAGAGGUCUCAAGCGUUGUUCGGAUUCAUUGGGCGUAAAGGGUGCGUAGGUGGCGCCGUAAGUCAGGUGUGAAAUUUCGGAGCUUAACUCCGAAACUGCAUUUGAUACUGCGGUGCUUGAGGACUGGAGAGGAGACUGGAAUUCACGGUGUAGCAGUGAAAUGCGUAGAUAUCGGAAGGAACACCAGUGGCGAAGGCGGCUACCUGGACUGACACUGACGCUGAGGCGCGAGAGCGUGGGGAGCAAACAGG
Molecule: ribosomal RNA, 253 nt
Filed under: uncultured bacterium
Lineage: Bacteria
Description: partial 16S ribosomal RNA
Rfam family: Bacterial small subunit ribosomal RNA
Source: RNAcentral